CUACGGGGUGCUCCAGUGGGGAAUAUUGGACAAUGGGGGAAACCCUGAUCCAGCAAUGCCGCGUGUGUGAAGAAGGCCUGCGGGUUGUAAAGCACUUUCGGUUGGGAGGACUGCUUCUAGCACUAAUAUUGUUGGAAGUUGACGUUACCUUCAGAAGAAGCACCGGCUAACUCCGUGCCAGCAGCCGCGGUAAUACGGAGGGUGCAAGCGUGAAUCGGAAUUACAGGGCGUAAAGCGCGCGUAGGCGGCUAGAUCAGUCGGGUGUGAAAGCCCCGGGCUUAACCUGGGAACUGCAUCCGAUACUGGCUAGCUUGAGUACAGGAGAGGAGAGUGGAAUUCCACAUGUAGCGGUGAAAUGCGUAGAUAUGUGGAGGAACACCAAUGGCGAAGGCAGCUCUCUGGCCUGAUACUGACGCUGAGGUGCGAAAGCGUGGGGAGCAAACAGGAUUAGAUACCCGAGUAGUC
This 465-nucleotide ribosomal RNA is filed under the name uncultured bacterium. RNAcentral describes it as "partial 16S ribosomal RNA". It matches the Rfam family "Bacterial small subunit ribosomal RNA", at positions 339 to 795 of the family's 1533-position model. The record is from RNAcentral.